UUGUCCCAAACAUCAAGGCUACGAAAGUUGUGAAGAAAAAUCUCACUGCCGUGUAUGGUGGAUUUCGCCAGUAUGACAAACGUUGUUUCCAUAAGCAUGCCAUACACUGGGUGAAGAAGGACUGGGAGUAUUGAGUAGGGAAAUAGAGGUCCUUAGAACCAGGGGUAGGUUGGCUCAAUUCUUUAAUUAAAUCUUUGUUUCUCCUGAAACAUAUGCCACAUCUUAGAAAAGGCUUCAACAACAAAUUCAAGCUUGCAUGAUGAACUUUGAGAUGGCUGUAUAUGACAUUUCAAUAUCAUAAAGCAUUCAGAUAUCCUAUAGUUGAAUCACCUGUAUAGGUCUGACUUUUCGUAUAUUUCGGUGAAAUCCACCCCCAAAAUUAAUUCUUGUGCAGAAGCGGUAACUUCCAACAUCCAAGUUGCAGGGUUAUAACCAUCUUUGAUUUUACUUACUCCUUCAAUUCCCUUAAUGAAAGCAAGUCACAUGUAUUAGUAAGCACUUUAUAUGAAUUAACUUAAACUAAAGUAUUUGCUGCUUAUAGCUUUUAAUUUAUCAUGGAAGUUUACCUCAAAAUACUUUAUCAGAUGGGAAGAAUGUCUACCCAGUGGUCCCAUAUAUAUCUCUUGCCCUCCACGCUUCAACAGGAGCAACUGCAAACCCAUUUUGAAUAUGUCAGUACUUAUAUGCAGGAGAGCAUAGAAGAGAAUAAAUCCUUUCUAUCCAUUAACAUUUCCAACCUCAUCAAAGGCAUCAAAGAUGUCAAUACUUGGCUGAUGGAUGGUGCACACAACUGUUCUUCCUGUGUCCACUGUGUUCCUGACUGUUCUCAUAACAAUUGCAGCAGCUCUUGCAUCUAGCCCUGAAGUUGGCUCAUCCAUGAAUAUUAUUGAGGGAUUUGCCACAAGCUCAACUGCAAUGGUCAGCCUCUUGCGCUGCUCGGUUGAGAGACCAUUUACACCUGGCAACCCAACUAGUGCACCCCUCAAUGGGGUCAGUUCCACGAGCUCCAUGACUUCCUCAAUGAACAUCUAUAACCAUUACCAAAGAUUAGAAAUUGUUUGAACCAGCACUUUUCCUCAGAGUAUAGGUCAAGCCAAACUUGAACCUGACCAUAGCUCAACCAAGUUUGAAAAAUCAAUUCUAGGGCUUUGCUUGUUCAGAGCACUAAAUUCAAUCAGAAAAAUGUGGAAACAACACAGAAAACUCUCACCUUCCUUGUUUCAGCAUCCACAUUAGGAGGCAAUCGCAGCCAAGCUGAGUAGAGCAAGGACUCAUGGACAGUAACAUGAGGAGAGUGGAUGUCAUUCUGCUCACAGUAUCCAGAAAUGCGAGCAAAAGUCUCUUGCUUCUUUGGGUAGCCAGAAAUGCUGAUGCUACCCUCAAUAUAUCCACCAGUUUUCCGACCAGCCAAUACAUCCAUGAGAGUGGUUUUACCAGCACCACUAACACCCAUCAAAGCUGUAAGAACACCAGGCCUGAAAGCACCACUCACCCCCUUCAGAAGCUCCAAUCUGUCUUCAGGGACACCUUGACUUUUCAUUUCCUGCAAAUUCAAUUCAAACAACUUACUUCUCAUUUUUGGUUUAUUAGUGCUGCUAAAACAUGUACAUUAUUUGCAAAAAUAUGAAGUUACCUCUGGCAUGUCAACUGAGUAUCUAAUAUCAUCAAAGGUGAUAGAAAGUGGUUGGAAUGGAAGAACCAUUCCUUUUUUGUUGUUACGUCUCGCCUCAGCAAUGGCUUCUGCCCUCACAGAAGAGGAUACGGAUGAGAUACUUCGCCCAAUUUCCUCUCCACUCUCUGCAUGUUAAGUUUAAAUUUAGAGAGCAAUAUAGAACAUGGGUUAAAUGACAAGAACACAGGCACACAAAGGCAUGCAAGCACCAUGUAUGAGUUUCAUCACCUGUGGAUGCGGUUUGGUCAAUCGAGCCUUUUCUAUGGGACGAUAACUCAAUCUUUCCUUCAGUUUUGGCAUUGUCGGACUCUACUGUUAUAACAGCUUGAGGCUUCUCAAAUGCUGCACAAUUUGCAAAAAUCUUAAUACACUAACCUCCAAUCAUUUAGGAGUUUCAAUGCAGAGACGGUAAAGAUACUCACGAUUUAGGUAAGUCAGAGCCACAGUGUAACAGAAGUUGAAGACAAAUAUGAAUCCAAGCAGUGCCCCAGCUCCUAUCCAGUACCAGUGUGCCUCCGUGAAGAACCCACGAGCCUUCAAUACUGCUACUCCAAGGGAUUCUGUUGAAUUGGUAGAAGCAUUCUGAAAAAUGGAAAUACAUUCAAUCAUCAGUGACUGACACACAUAAAUAAACACAAAUACUCACAUGCAAAAUUCAAGAACUUACUUUGCUCCAACUCUUCCCAAGGAAUUCAUUUACCAGUAUGGCGUUCUGUGCAUACAUCAUAGGGGAAGACCAGUAACCCCAAAUCCACCAUUUCUUGACAUUUUCUGCAGCAUUGACCAAAUACAAAAAGAAAACAAAAAUCCAUUAUUAGUGUUUAUCAACAAGAAGGUUCUACAUUUCCUGAAAAUUUCUUUCCUCCUUAUACCUCGUGACAGGACAAUACCACCCAAUGCAAAGGGCAGAACUAAUGCAAAUGACCCAAAUGUGUUUGCAACAAUCAUGCUUCUACAAGCUGCUGCUAUAAAUCGAAAUAAUGAAGAUGCCGUCUGAUUAAGAAGCAAGAGGAGUAGAUACUGUCUAAACAAUCUGCAAUAAGAAGAUUUGUUUAUUGAGCAUAGAUCAUUUUGGAACAGAGAAAACAUGUGAAACAAAUCUGGACAAGUUUCUGCAACUUCACAAGUUUUUAACUUUUACCUUCCCACAUUUGGAUCAAAUCCAAUGACAUAAUAAGUGAUGAAUACCCAAACACCAACUUCAACAAAUGUGAUGGGGAUCUUGAGGAACCAUGAGGGAAGAGCAUAUGCCCAUGCAGGAUAGAAGAGCAGGCCUCUUUGCUUGUAAAAGACAGGAAGUUUUAGAAUGGUCAUGGCAAGUUCUGACAUUCCAUUAAACAUGACCAUCAUGACAGUGAAGAACAAAGCACCAGUGUAAAUGUUUCCAUCUUCUGUUGUGUUUUUGUGCAUCUCAGUUCUUAGGAAGAUUGUCAUUGCAAUCAUUGCGACUAUUGUGAGCUAAAAGCAGAAAUAAAAAUAAUAAAUUACGAUCAAAUGUACAAAAUUAAAAGCCAUUGUUAUAAGUAACAACAAUAAUAAUACUCACUUGGGUGAGCUUGAAAAUAUAGACAAAUGAAUUCCUCUUCAUCAGCAAGUACUCUCUUGAGAUGCAAGCAUCCAACAGUUCCUUCUUUCUAACACCAUAUUUUUCAGUUUUCAAAGCAGCCGGGUGGCUUUUGGUCUUGUCGAAUGGAGUUGCAAGCUCAUCUCCUAGUUUCCGUCCAAAGUGAAAUGACUGGAAUGCCUCAGCAAAUUCCUUGGCUGUGACAAAACUGUAAGGCUCAUCUUUAUGUGCCCAAUACUGCUCCUGAUCUUUCCUAGAUGUUACCUGCAAUCAAUUUUAAAAUUCGUGUUCUAGCUUGGUUUUUUCUAAAGAAGGGAAAAAAUGAGAAGAUGCCAAAAGGUACAAAGCUAUUAGCACUCACUUCUUGUAGGAAGUCUGCCACACCCUUCCUUUCAGGACAUCUGAACCCCAUGGAUUCAAAAAAGUUAAGAACGUCUUCACGAGGACCCUGAUAAAUGAUCCGGCUAUCAGAGAGAAGAAUGAUGUCAUCAAAAAGAUCGUAAGUCUCAGGUGCUGGCUGGAGGAGAGAGAUGAGAGCAGUCCCAUUGAGAAUGUGGACGGUUUGCCUGAGAGAAUUUACGAUUUGAUAAGUUGUUGAGCUAUCCAAGCCAGUAGAGAUCUCAUCCAUGAACAGUGCCUUUGAUGGUCCAACCAGCAUCUCACCUAUCAUUCAUAUAUUUUCAAAUAAUUGAACUAUAUUAGAUUAAUGAACAAAAAAUAUCUUCUUCUUUUUCUUUUUCCUUUUUCAUGUUAGAACACAAAUUAUCCUACCAGUUGUGACACGCUUCCUUUGUCCUCCAGAGAUACCCCUCACCAUUUCAUCUCCUACCAUGGUGUCUGCACAGAUUUCUAGUCCCAGAAUCUGUAAAUUUAAGUUUAAAUGAAAAUAAACAAAUUAUGAGUUAGAACUGGAUUUUCUCAGAAAUCUGUAUUCCAUCAUUGAAAGUUUUAUGGUUAUGAUACCUUUAGUGUAUAAUCAGUGAUCACAUUCUCCUUCUGGCCUUCAGCUGCCGCUGCCUGAAAUGUUAGAAACCAAUAAUGAAAAUCUCAACAACCAUUAAAGUUAGUUUGGUACAUGAAGAUAUUCCAUGGAUAAGAUCGACAGAACAUCAAGAAAACAAAGUCAAUUUGCAUAUCUAUGUGAGAGAUCAAAAUUUUCAUUCUAGAGAAGACAAGUGUCCAUGUUCUCCACGAAAAACAAAUAGCUGAUCAAUUUCAUUAAGUAGCUUCUGUCUCACCUUCAUGAAGACAUCGAUAUCAGGAUCGGGCUUUAUAUUUGCUGCUUUUUCUCUUCUUGAGAGCUCUACUAACAUGUCUGCAGAUAGCCAAAAUAAGAGUCAAUCUCCUGGCCUAGGCAAAUGUCAUACAACUACAUCCACAACCUUCAAAAACAAAGAAAAUAAAAGUGAAGGCAAUGGUUUAGACUAACCAUAUCGAUCUCCAACACCCUGGCAUCUUGCAGAGAAGGCCAAGGUUUCCCGUACAGUCAUUUCUCCUAUAUGGGUAUCAAGUUGGCUUAUGUAGGCGGCAGUUCUCUGGGGUACAAACUCAUUCAUGCCAUGACCGUUGUAUGUCACUCUUCCCGUAACCUAAACAAGAAAUUUCAGUUUUCAAAUUGGAUAAGAGAUUAAAGAGCUAAAAAUUGAAUACGCAUCAAAGAAGAAAAGCAAUAAGAGUUUUUUUUUUUUUUUUUUUUUUUUGUCCGUUCAACCUUUAGACUGGAAUCAAGCUUUCCGGACAGAGCCAAUAAGAGAGUGGUCUUUCCAGAACUUGGAGGACCCAAAAGCAACGUCAUUCUGCAGAAAAAAAAUAUGCACAAAAAAUUGAGUAUUGAUCUUCAGGGCAUUCUAAAUUUGAGAAAGGAAAAAAUCAUUUGAUUUAUCAAUCAAUUUUUUACUAGAAAUAAAUUCAAAUUCUCACCUUCCGGGUUUGAUGAUUCCGCUAACAUCAUGAAGAAUGGUGAAUUUCUUCUUUCUACUUGGAAGAAUCCGAAGAGUGUUCAAGAUAUCCUUUAAAACAGAAAGAAAAAUUAUAAUCUAAAAACAAACUUUCCCAAGAGAGUACUUAUUGAUUAGCUAAUGAUCUGCAUUUGCAUUUUAGUUACCUCAAUUUGAUUAAAAACAGAAUUAAUGAAUGAAGGCAAAGCUCUGCUUCCUACAUGAGCUUCUGCAUCAAUGGUAAGAUGCUCAAAUCUAACUUCAAUUUCGGGAAGAUCAAUCCCAACUCUGAAAAAUGGAAGAGCCACGAAAACUCGUUAUUAAAAAGUCGAAGGAAGAUGUUGUUUGGUUGCAAAGAAAAUAUAGGAAACACUAUCAGGCAUACUUAAGAUGAAUUCUUUCUUUUCCACUGUUUUCAAUGUUCAAAAAGAGGCGAGGAGCGCAAGAAAAGAAGAGAAAUCGCACCUAUCCAUACGAUUCUUGAGCUUCAACAAGAACUUCUCAUUGUCCUCUUCAGCGAUUUUCACCAACCGCUCGACUAAAUUCUUCCUUUCCUGAGGCCCAAGGUUGUGUAUAUCAACUUCACUGGCCUCACCCUCUGAUCCGAUCAGCAAACCUUUCCUCAGCCGAUUGUAGGUGGGAAGUUUCUCGAGGGCAGCCCAUUUCAAAGCUUCCUCAUCAUCCUCAUCCCUUGAAGAACGGGAGAAAACCUCCGCACCAGAGUUCCUCCAUAUGGAAGAACUGUUCUUCCUGAAACUACCACUGGCUCUACGACCACUGGCUGUAUAAAUUUCAGCUGUUUCCAUUGCAACACGAAACGAGGAACCCCCCUGCAAAACUAACCAGAACCCACCAAAACCCAGAAAUUUUUCCAAAAAAUCAGGAGAAGCCCAAGUUUUGAUCUCUGGAGCUGAAAAAAACUCAGUCAGAGAUGGGUGUCCUCCCCUCUUUUCUCUAUGCACUUUGUAGUGCUAAAACCUUGUUCUAUGUUAGAAAACCAUGAGGAAUGGAAGGUUUAUAUACUGAUUCGAAGGACAGAAUCAGAGGCGGCCUAAAUGUUUCAAAUUCUUACUUUAACAUUUUCACAAUUCUCCGCUAUCUUGUUUGUCAAGUAAAUGGAAAAGUGAAUUAUUAAAUGUUGUCCUAACCGCCAAACUAACUAACUUUCCCGGGCGAAACUAACGAACCCUCCUGAAUUCCAAAUGUAAAACAUUUAUGGCAUCUUGUCUAUACUCUUGUUUAAUGAUAUGAUACUUUGGGUUUAGUUUGCCUAAAUUAAUAAUGUAAGUUAAUUUUUAACAUUUCAUUUAUAGUCUAAUUUGAUGUUGAUAUAUUGAAUUUGGAUUACUUCUUUUAAUCUCGGAAUUUAUUAGGAUUAGAUUGGAGUUGAGUUAAGAGGCCUCGAGUUGAUUUAAAUUAUAUUCAAGGAAAGAGUUAAGUAAACUUUAAUAAGUGAACGAUGAAAUCUUUUAUUUCUAAAUUAUAUGUAAUAUGAUAAAAUAUAUGUCUCAUUAUUACGAGUUAAUAAGUUACACGAUGAAUUCAUCAACUAAUUUUUAUGUAAAAGUAGAAUAUCUUAUACAAAAUGUAUGGAUUUACCUUAUAUCUUUAAAAUUUAUUUUUAAAAAUUCUCGUGACAUCAUUACAUAUGUAAGCUUGAUUAAUUUUAAUGAAUAGUAAAUUUAUCAAAAAUUAAAUAAAUGUAUAGUCAAUUCUAAGUUAGUCAUUAUUUUAUUAAAGCUAAAAAUAUUUUAAAAUUUUCAAAAUCAAGGCUUCAAUAACUCACAACUUUAAAUAAAUAUAUAUAUAUUUAAUAAAAUAUCAAUUACAAAGUUAUAAAAAAGUUCAUUUUAUUAUGUUUUUAUUAUAUAUAGUAGAAUUUAAAUAAAAUUAAUUACAAAUUAAAAAAUAAUAAUUUUUUAUUAAAGCUUUUUUGGGGGGCUAAUUUUCUUUACUCUUUUUUUUUUUUUUAAUUCCUAAGAUGUGGGAUGAGAAGGACCCAAAAUUAAUUAGAUCAUUAUCCAAAUUAUUUUUAUUUUUAAAGAAUAAAAACAUUAUAAAUGGUUAGAAUCCAACCUUCUAGAAAGAAAUGAAAGACUAGCAAAUAAAUCAUACUAAAUCCAACAACUAAUUAAAGUCUCUUCUCAAUUUAUUUUUGGAUUUAUUUUCAUUUAAAAAUAGUAACCACAUAAAACAUAGGCCAAAUAUAUUCUAAAAAUAGGUUGAUUUCUCACACGUGUAGAAGAAAGGGUACGGGUGGCCAUGAUCAUGGGAUAGACAUGAUUGACUUUCAAAAGCUUAAAAAGAAAAUGACUUUCAAAAGCUGCUAAUGACUCCAUGAUACAUGGGAUAUGAAUUGUUAAAGAUUGUCACAACUGCCCCUUUUGACCCUUCAAAUUACUUCCACAGUCCAUCACUUUGCAGCUUUCUUGACCCUUGUUUACCAAGUAACCCAAUAGGCAUAAGAAUUAUUGGAGGUUGGCCCAACAGCCCCUUUUGACCCUUCAAAUGGCUGACACAGUCAACAUUUUCAGCUUUACUCACCCUUCUCAACCAAGCAAGCAACUCACUAGGAAUAGGAAUUAUCAAAUUAAGUAACUUUGCCACAAGCAGCCCCAACCCCACCCCCAACCCCCCACCCAACAUAUUUUUUUGGCAAUUUUUGUUAAAUCUAAUUUAAUAUUUUGAUAUUUGGAUUACCUAAAUUAGAAAUGUAAGUUAAUUUUUAGAAUUUUGUUUGUAGUCUAAUUUAAUGUUGAUUAAACUCGAGUAAGUUCAAAUUAGGAUUAAAUCUAUUUAAGGAUGGUGUUAAACAAAUGAGGAAACCUAAACCUUAAUUAAGUGGGUUAUUAGAAAAAAUAUUAUGGUAUUAAUUAUUGCAUGAAUUUGUAUGGCUUAAAAUUAGUUAAUAAUACCCCCUCAUUAUUAUUCAAUAAAAGUGGCCAAUUCUAUGGUAAAGAAUAAAAAUAUUAAAAACAUUAGAUACCCCUCAUUAUUAUUCAAUAAAAGUGGCCAAUUCUAUGAUAAAGAAUAAAAAUAUUAAAAACAUUAGUAAAAGAUGUUUUAGACUUUACUAAAAAAAAUUAAGUUAAAAGACUUUUUCAAAAGAAUUUUAAAAAGUAUUUAAACUCCCCACUAAGAUAUUUUUAAUAAAUCAUUUGUUUUUUGUUUACCAAAUGGAAAUUUGAAUUAUUAAAUGUUAUCUAACUGCUAGACAAAUUAAUAACUUGUUUGACAAUUAUUUUUUGAGAAGUGUUUUUUGUUUUUAUCUUUAGAUUGUUUUCACUUAUUUUUUUAAAUUUGUUUAAAAAAAUAAUUAUACAGAAGAAUGAUUAAAAAUAAAGUAUUAAAUAUAAAAAAAAAUCAUUUUUAAAAAACAUUAAAAACUAUUUUAAAAUAUUUUAAAUUCUCAAACAAACUUUUAUUUUACAAAAAAAUAAAAAAUAAUUUUCAAAAAUUGUUCUUAAAAACUAUUUUUAAAAAUUAUUUUUUAACACAAUUACAAAACAGAUCAUAACUUUCUUUGCCUAAGUGCAAAUCUACCUAAAUUGUAAAUGUAAAAUACUUUUUGGCAAUUUAUUUAUAAUUUAAUUUUAAGAUUCCACACUUUGGGUUUUGGAUUACCACUUUUAAUCUCCCAACUUUUUAGAGUAGGAUUGGAUUAGCUAAAUUUGACUCAAUGCUUAGAGUUAGGUCCCGGGUGGUUUUUGACUGGCUCAUACUCUCCUAAAUUAUAAAUGUAAGUACAUCUUUGGGUUCAUUUCCUUCUUUUUUUUUUUUUUUUUCAAAAACAAAAUAUCUUAUAUGAAAAAAAAAAAAAAAGAAUUCUUGUAUAAAAGCUAGUUAUAUACCUUGUAUAAAAAUUUAAGUAAUUUUACUCCCACAAAUUUUCUAGGUUUUGAAAAGAAUUUUUAGAAAUACAAGGUAAAUUUUAACUUUUUAUAUAAAAGUUCUUAUAUUUUAUAUAGAAAUUUUUAUUUUUAAAUAUAAAAAAUAAAAAAUAAAAAAUGUAUCUAAUCACCACCUAAAUUAUUUUUCACCAUUUUUUUUAUACUAUAAUCUAAUGUUUAUGAUCCAAAUCUAGUGUUUGUAGUUGAGUUUGUAUUAAAGUUUAGUCAACGUAUUCAUGGAUGAAGCUAAACUAAUGGCAGAAACUUUAUUUAAGUGAGCAAUUAGAACAAUUAUGAGGGUAAUAAAUAAUUGAUAAAUUUUCAAAAUUUAAAAUUUGUUAACAAUUCCCCUCAUUAUUAUCAAAAAUAUAUAUACAAUUAUAGAGGUUAAUUAUAAAAAAGAAAGAAAAUAUAUGAUAUAUCAAAUUGAAUAAAAAUAAUAUCAAACAUAUUGGUUAAGAUAUUUUAGUUUUUCUAAAAAACAUCCAAAAAAUUAAAAGGUUUUUUUCAAAAGAAUUAAAAAAUAGUUGAAAUUUUCAAUAAGAAAUUUCUAAUAAUUUUGUUUUAACAAAAAAAAAAUCCUAAAAAUAUUUUUUUUUUAAAAAAUUCAACAAUUCCACUUAUAAAUUUCUUCUAUUUUUCAAAUAGCUAAAGAUAAAUUGACUGAGAAAACUAUUUUUUUUUAUGAAGUAUAUAUAAUAUAGUAAAAAUAUCAUAUUAAGUUAUAUAAUUUUUAUAAUUAAAGUUAAAUUCAAAUUCUCAUGAUAUGAGUCAUUAUGUAGGAUUAAAUGAGAUUUGAUAUGAUGAUACUUAUAAAAUCGAUGAUUGAUAUUCAAAUGUUUCUUUUUAAAACAAAUUGAUUUAACUCUAUAAAUGAUACCACCACCCAUAUAAAUUAAUAUUAAUUACAAACUUCCAUAAUACAAAUCAUUGCAUAGGAUUAGAUUUAUUAAAAAUUAAAUAACAUAUAAAUUUAUAUAGCUUUGUAGUAAAUUCUAAAUUAGUGAUUAUUUGAUUAAAUCUAAAAAAUAAAAAUAAAAUGACCAAAUCAAUCUGCAAAAAAUUCACCACUCAAAAUAAUUUAAUAAAAUUUCAAAUACUAAUAGAAUUUUUUGAGGGAUGACGUUUAGAAAAAUCAAAUUUAGCUUUUUCUAUUUGAAAAAACCUCAUUUUCAAGGGAAGACAUUAUUAAAUCCUCCUUGAUGAUGGUAAAGCUAGGGAAAGAAAAAGAAACAACAAAUCUUAAUAUGAUGUUUCAAGGAACCCUUUCUUCAAUGAAGCAAACUAGUUUUAUGGGGCCUAAUUGACUGGAAGUUCUUAUUUUCAUUUGUCCAAAUAAAGAAAUAUUCAGAAACUGAAAAUCUUCUUUCCUCUCACAAUUCUGAACAAUCAAAGCAACUAUUAAUAAAAAACACUGAGAAUAUGACAGAUUUUGAACUUAAUAUCAUCUCGAUUCACCUACUCAAGAAAUUUGAUGAGUUUUUGAGCUUGGAAGAGUCAGGUCAAAUCCACAUGUCUGAAAAUUUGGAAGGCAGUGAUUCUACAAUUCAAAGUAUAACUGCUUCAUUUGGAUAUGAUCAUCAGGAUACCACUGUAUGAGCACCAAACUUUCUUACAUUGAAUGAGUUGAAUACUAGGAAAACUGAACUAACUCUUUUCAUGGGUCAAUCAUAUAACUAGAAAUGGGAUCUGUAAGUGCAGUCAUGGAACUGCUGGAAGCCUUGAAAUACCUCUGAACUUUCUGAAGAAGGUCAAAACUUUUCUUUUUGCUAGCUCAAGUCUAAAUUUAAUAGCAUUUCAAACCCUGCCCCGUCAUACAUUUGUGUCAAGUAGUCUGUCUUUGAUAUCUCCAAACUCUGCUGUAACCAAUCCAUACAAAGUUCAUGCAACCGGACAUGCCCAAUAAUACCAUCUCCACCACACAGGAAUCCUCUGCAUUCAUCAUGGAAGAAAUGCAACAAAAUGAGACAGUUUCGUAUCCAUGUGCUAAACAAAGUUCCAAUUUAAAGAAUUAUGGGUUGAGAGCACUAACAGUCCGUGGGACGAUAAAACCUGAGAAGAGGUUCCAUAAUGCAUAAAAUGCUACAGCAAUGAUGGCAGCAAUAUGUUGAUUUGUUGUGGCAGCCACAGCCAUCAUGCCAAAAAAGGUAAAGUAUAAUUGGCUGAAGAACGUAAAAAACAAAUACCAGAAGAACUUAGCAGCUGUCCAUUCAAAUCCAAUCAUUGCAUAAACUAUAGCACCAUACACCACAGCUUGUGAAAAGACACAUGGUAUCUCAACUAAAGCCUGAAACAAGAGAUGAAUUUUGAUUAAUAAAACCCAUAAAGCAUUAGAGACAUACAAAGUCUAAAGCAUAAGAAAACUUGUUACCUGUGCAAAGGCUUAUGGCACGGAUGAAUACAUUCCUGCAGCUCUUUCUCUGUAAAAGACUGUCUAUUUCAACUGCCACGACUGGUUGCACCAAUUGGCCAUUCUGAAACCCAAGGAAGAUAACAGCAGCUACAUAGAGCCCAUUGCAUUAGAAAGAUCUCGUUGCCUUGUUCUGCAUUUUCCCAUGUGAAGUAAAAAUUGAAGUUGAUUUGGAGAAGCAUACUGAGUUCUCAAAAUUCUUAACUUACUUCAAGUUACCUUUGGGUGCCGAGAUCCCAGAACAUGGUUCCAAACAUCAAGGCUAUGAAAGUUGUGAAGAAAAAUCUCACUGCCGUGUAUGGUGGAUUGCGCCAGUAUGACCAACAUUGUUUCCAUAAGCAUGCCAUACAUUGGGUGAAGAAGGGCUGGGAGUAUUGAUUAGGGAAAUAGAGGUCCUUAGAACUAGGGGUAGGUUGGCUCAAUUCUUUAAUUAAAUCUUUGUUUCUCCUGAAACAUAUGCCACAUCUUAGAAAAGGCUUCAACAACAAAUUCAAGCCUGCAUGAUGAACAUUGAGAUGGCUGUAUAUGACAUUUCAAUAUCAUAAAGCAUUCGGAUAUCCUAUAGUUAAAUCACCUGUAUAUGUCUGAGUUUUUGUAUAUUUCAGUGAAAUUCACCCCCAAGAUUAAUUCUUGUGCAGAAAUGGUAACUUCCAACAUCUUUGAUUUUU
RNAcentral lists this long non-coding RNA (12141 nucleotides) under Vitis vinifera (wine grape). RNAcentral's name for it is "long non-coding RNA (VVIN_LNC002780)". Lineage: Eukaryota; Viridiplantae; Streptophyta; Magnoliopsida; Vitales; Vitaceae. The record is from RNAcentral.